RNAcentral lists this ribosomal RNA (621 nucleotides) under uncultured Actinomycetes bacterium. RNAcentral's name for it is "bacterial SSU rRNA". It matches the Rfam family "Bacterial small subunit ribosomal RNA", at positions 556 to 1177 of the family's 1533-position model. Lineage: Bacteria; Bacillati; Actinomycetota; Actinomycetes. The record is from RNAcentral.
GGGCGUAAAGAGCUCGUAGGCGGUUUGUCGCGUCUGCUGUGAAAUCCCGAGGCUCAACCUCGGGCCUGCAGUGGGUACGAGCAACCUAGAGUGUGGUAGGGGAGAUUGGAACUCCUGGUGUAGCGGUGGAAUGCGCAGAUAUCAGGAAGAACACCGAUGGCGAAGGCAGAUCUCUGGGCCAUUACUGACGCUGAGGAGCGAAAGCGUGGGGAGCGAACAGGAUUAGAUACCCUGGUAGUCCACGCCGUAAACGUUGGGAACUAGAUGUAGGGUCCAUUCCACGGAUUCUGUGUCGCAGCUAACGCAUUAAGUUCCCCGCCUGGGGAGUACGGCCGCAAGGCUAAAACUCAAAGGAAUUGACGGGGGCCCACACAAGCGGCGGAGCAUGCGGAUUAAUACGAUGCAACGCGAAGAACCUUACCAAGGCUUGACAUAUACCGGAAAAGCGUAGAAAUACGCUCCCCGCAAGGUCGGUAUACAGGUGGUGCAUGGUUGUCGUCAGCUCGUGUCGUGAGAUGUUGGGUUAAGUCCCGCAACGAGCGCAACCCUCGUCCUAUGUUGCCAGCACGUAAUGGUGGGAACUCAUGGGAGACUGCCGGGGUCAACUCGGAGGAAGGUAAU